GAGAGGUCGCGGCCACACUGGGACUGAGACACGGCCCAGACUCCUACGGAAGGCAGCAG
Molecule: ribosomal RNA, 59 nt
Filed under: uncultured bacterium
Lineage: Bacteria
Description: partial 16S ribosomal RNA
Source: RNAcentral